Molecule: ribosomal RNA, 673 nt
Filed under: Salmonella enterica
Lineage: Bacteria; Pseudomonadati; Pseudomonadota; Gammaproteobacteria; Enterobacterales; Enterobacteriaceae
Also listed under: 1 other name
Description: partial 23S ribosomal RNA
Rfam family: Bacterial large subunit ribosomal RNA
Source: RNAcentral
CCCAGACAGCCAGGAUGUUGGCUUAGAAGCAGCCAUCAUUUAAAGAAAGCGUAAUAGCUCACUGGUCGAGUCGGCCUGCGCGGAAGAUGUAACGGGGCUAAACCAUGCACCGAAGCUGCGGCAGCGACGCUGAUGCGUUGUUGGGUAGGGGAGCGUUCUGUAAGCCUGUGAAGGUGGCCUGUGAGGGUUGCUGGAGGUAUCAGAAGUGCGAAUGCUGACAUAAGUAACGAUAAAGCGGGUGAAAAGCCCGCUCGCCGGAAGACCAAGGGUUCCUGUCCAACGUUAAUCGGGGCAGGGUGAGUCGACCCCUAAGGCGAGGCCGAAAGGCGUAGUCGAUGGGAAACGGGUUAAUAUUCCCGUACUUGGUGUUACUGCGAAGGGGGGACGGAGAAGGCUAUGUUGGCCGGGCGACGGUUGUCCCGGUUUAAGCGUGUAGGUGUGUGUUCCAGGUAAAUCCGGUUCACUUUAACACUGAGGCGUGACGACGAGGCACUACGGUGCUGAAGCAACAAAUGCCCUGCUUCCAGGAAAAGCCUCUAAGCAUCAGGUAACAUCAAAUCGUACCCCAAACCGACACAGGUGGUCAGGUAGAGAAUACCAAGGCGCUUGAGAGAACUCGGGUGAAGGAACUAGGCAAAAUGGUGCCGUAACUUCGGGAGAAGGCACGCUGACA